AGAGUUUGAUCCUGGCUCAGAAUGAACGCUGGCGGCGUGCCUAACACAUGCAAGUCGGAUGUGCCGCAAGGUGCAUGGCAGACGGGUGAGUAACGCGUGGGGAAUCUACCUCUUUGUGGGGAAUAACGCUCCGAAAGGAGUGGUAAUACCGCAUGAGACCUUUGGCUGGGAUGCUGGAGGUGAAACCUGGGGACCGCAAGGCCUGGGGCAAGGAGAGGAUCCUGCGUCUGAUUAGCUAGUUGGCGGGGUAAUGGCCCACCAAGGCGACGAUCAGUAGCCGGCCUGAGAGGGUGAUCGGCCACACUGGAACUGAGACACGGUCCAGACUCCUACGGGAGGCAGCAGUGGGGAAUUUUGCGCAAUGGACGAGAGUCUGACGCAGCAACGCCGCGUGGGUGAUGAAGGUCUUCGGACUGUAAAACCCUGUCGUCAGGGACGAAGGUGGCACGACUAAUAAUC
Molecule: ribosomal RNA, 459 nt
Filed under: uncultured bacterium
Lineage: Bacteria
Description: bacterial SSU rRNA
Rfam family: Bacterial small subunit ribosomal RNA
Source: RNAcentral